CCGAAGCCGCGGAUGCACUGGUUAUCCAGUGCGUGGUAGGGGAGCGUUCUGUAAGUCUGCGAAGGCGGUUCGAGAGGACUGCUGGAGAUAUCAGAAGUGCGAAUGCUGACAUGAGUAACGUUAAAGCAGGUGAAAAGCCUGCUCGCCGUAAGCCCAAGGAUUCCUGCUCUACGUUCAUCGGAGCAGGGUGAGUCGGCUCCUAAGGUCAGGCCGAAAGGCGUAGCCGAUGGGAAUCAGGUUAAUAUUCCUGAACCUGCGUCAGAUGCGAUGGGGGGACGGAGCAUGGAAGAUCAUCCGGGUGUUGGAAGUCCCGGUUGUUGAGCGUAGGAGGUCUGCAGGCAAAUCCGCAGACGCAUCUCCAAGGCGAAGUCACGUGCCGCCACGGCGGCGAAGUGAUCGGAAGUGCUUCCAAGAAAAGCCUCUAAGCCCCAGUCUGACGCGGACCGUACCGCAAACCGACACUGGUGGGCGAGCUGAAUAUGCUCAGGCGCUUGAGAGAACUCGGGAGAAGGAACUCGGCAAAUUGACACCGUAACUUCGGAAGAAGGUGUGCCGUAGUACCGUGAGAGGAGAGACACCUUGAGCGGGAAACGGUCUCAGAGAAUAGGUGGCUGCGACUGUUUAUUAAAAACACAGCACUCUGCAAAGUCGAAAGACGACGUAUAGGGUGUGAUGCCUGCCCGGUGCUGGAAGAUUAAUUGAUGGGGUGAGAGCCCUUGAUCGAAGUCCCAGUAAACGGCGGCCGUAACUAUAACGGUCCUAAGGUAGCGAAAUUCCUUGUCGGGUAAGUUCCGACCUGCACGAAUGGCAUAACGAUGGCCACACUGUCUCCUCCCGAGACUCAGUGAAGUUGAAAUGUUUGUGAUGAUGCAAUCUACCCGCGGCUAGACGGAAAGACCCCAUGAACCUUUACUGCAGCUUUGCAUUGAACUGUGAACCGAUUUGUGUAGGAUAGGUGGGAGGCAGAGAAGAGGCCACGCCAGUGGUCUUGGAGCCGACCUUGAAAUACCACCCUGAUUUGUUUGCGGUUCUAACCACGGACAGUGAUCCUGUCUUGGGACCGUGCAUGGUAGGCAGUUUGACUGGGGCGGUCUCCUCCUAAAGGGUAACGGAGGAGUACGAAGGUACGCUAGGUACGGUCGGAAAUCGUGCUGAUAGUGCAAUGGCAAAAGCGUGCUUGACUGCGAGAGCAACAACUCGAGCAGAUGCGAAAGCAGGUCAUAGUGAUCCGGUGGCUCUGAAUGGAAGGGCCAUCGCUCAACGGAUAAAAGGUACUCUGGGGAUAACAGGCUGAUACCGCCCAAGAGUUCAUAUCGACGGCGGUGUUUGGCACCUCGAUGUCGGCUCAUCUCAUCCUGGGGCUGUAGUCGGUCCCAAGGGUAUGGCUGUUCGCCAUUUAAAGAGGUACGUGAGCUGGGUUUAAAACGUCGUGAGACAGUUUGGUCCCUAUCUGCCGUGGGCGUUGGAAGAUUGACGGGGGCUGCUCCUAGUACGAGAGGACCGGAGUGGACGCACCUCUGGUGUACCGGUUGUCACGCCAGUGGCAUUGCCGGGUAGCUAAGUGCGGAAGAGAUAACCGCUGAAAGCAUCUAAGCGGGAAACUUGCCUGAAGAUGAGUCUUCCCGGAGGUAAAACCUCCCUCAAGAGUCGUCCGAGACCAGGACGUCGAUAGGUCAGGUGUGUAAGCGCUGUGAGGCGUUGAGCUAACUGAUACUAAUUGCUCGUGAGGCUUGAUCCU
This 1738-nucleotide ribosomal RNA is filed under the name human gut metagenome. Its description in RNAcentral is "bacterial LSU rRNA". It matches the Rfam family "Bacterial large subunit ribosomal RNA", at positions 1194 to 2925 of the family's 2925-position model. The record is from RNAcentral.